This 253-nucleotide ribosomal RNA is filed under the name uncultured bacterium. RNAcentral describes it as "partial 16S ribosomal RNA". It matches the Rfam family "Bacterial small subunit ribosomal RNA", at positions 524 to 776 of the family's 1533-position model. The record is from RNAcentral.
UACGUAGGUGGCAAGCGUUAUCCGGAUUUACUGGGUGUAAAGGGCGUGUAGGCGGGAUGGUAAGUCAGAUGUGAAAACUAUGGGCUCAACCCAUAGCCUGCAUUUGAAACUAUCGUUCUUGAGUGUUGGAGAGGCAGGCGGAAUUCCGUGUGUAGAGGUGAAAUGCGUAGAUAUCACACAGAACACCGAUUGCGAAGGCAUCUCACGAAUCCGCGAUUGACGCUGAUGCACGAAAGCGUGGGUAUCAAACAGG